CUCCUACGGGAGGCAGCAGUGGGGAAUAUUGCACAAUGGGGGAAACCCUGAUGCAGCGACGCCGCGUGAGUGAAGAAGUAAUUCGUUACGUAAAGCUCUAUCAGCAGGGAAGAAAAUGACGGUACUUGAGUAAGAAGCCCCGGCUAACUACGUGCCAGCAGCCGCGGUAACACGUAGGGGGCAAGCGUUAUCCGGAUUUACUGGGUGUAAAGGGAGCGUAGACGGUACGCCAAGUCUGAAGUGAAAUGCCGCAGCUUAACUGCGGAACUGCUUUGGAAACUGGCGGGCUGGAGUGCGGGAGGGGG
This 305-nucleotide ribosomal RNA is filed under the name uncultured bacterium. RNAcentral's name for it is "bacterial SSU rRNA". It matches the Rfam family "Bacterial small subunit ribosomal RNA", at positions 336 to 658 of the family's 1533-position model. The record is from RNAcentral.